GGAGUUGUGGCUCAGUGGUAGAGCACUUGUCUACCAUGCAUGAGGCAUUGGGUUCGAUCCCUGGUACCA
This 69-nucleotide transfer RNA is filed under the name Ictidomys tridecemlineatus (thirteen-lined ground squirrel). Its description in RNAcentral is "Spermophilus tridecemlineatus (thirteen-lined ground squirrel) tRNA". It matches the Rfam family "tRNA". From Rfam's summary of the family: Transfer RNA (tRNA) molecules are approximately 80 nucleotides in length. Their secondary structure includes four short double-helical elements and three loops (D, anti-codon, and T loops). The record is from Rfam by way of RNAcentral. Lineage: Eukaryota; Metazoa; Chordata; Mammalia; Rodentia; Sciuridae.